UAUUGUUGCUUGUUGUCCGAAAUUUGGUAUUCGGAUUUUACUCAUAUUUGAAUAUGUGUGUGGUUAUGAUUCUAAUUCGAAUAUGCAAAACCUUAGGGAAAGUGCGAGCCAAUCUACUCUUACUCAAUAAAUCACAUUUCUGAGCGUUUUGCUUUUUUGGAGACAGUUCUCUAAUGGUUUCUUAGAGCUAACUGAUGGAAUGACUUUUAAAGGGUUGAAACUUGGUUACCUGGUUUACAUAUACUUAGUAAUCUGAUAACACGGCAAUGAUAACAUACUACUACUAAGUUACUUGAACAUAAUUCGAAAAACAAGUAGAGAGACGUUGAGUUCAAUGUAUAUGGCUGCACAGCUAGGAAAAAAUUCUUUUAAGAAGGAAAUAGUGUAACAUAAACUGAAAUGGAAGUAAUACCAGUUAGGCAACUUAUGACUCUCACCUACUGUUCUGUGUUCACUUAUUUUAGGGGAGGCAAAUGAUUAUACAUUUGCCCUAAUGUCUGUUUUGUGGAAUAGUGGUGCUAUUGUGGCUUGUAAUUUCUGGUGAAUUUCUUCAAUAUCAGUUGUGGAAGUGUUAUAUUGAUUGAUUAGUGCUGGCGUUUGUGGGACAUUGCUGAAGUUUGGGAGAAGUUUUGCUGUUGUAUACUAACUGUUUGAUACAAGUACAACUUACUGCAUUAUGGAUUCAAUGAAAUUAUGCCUGUGCUGCUGUCUGGAAUGCUUACUUUGGAAUUACUUUCUUUUCGGCGAUGUUAAGUUUUGUGAGAAGUGGCAAUGAAAUUAUGACCCAUAUGGUUUCUUUUUCUAAAAUUUAUUGGUUGUUAAUAGUCUCUGUAACAUAUGCUGAAAUCUUCUCUGUUGAACAACCUUACUAUUGGUGAUAUUGCCGUCUCUGUGACCACAAUGCUCAAAAUGUAUUGUUCAAAUCAGCUUUAGAUGUAUGUAAGUGAUUCAUACGGGAAUUUUGUGUUUGCUAAAUUAGGGGUAGUGAUGAAUGGUUGAAUGUUAGUAAUUGCAGUGAAGGAUGAAUGUGCAUAUAACCUAUUUGGUGAAAGGCUCAAGUGAUUGCGUGUUAUAAUUAUUGUUGUUUGCCUGACUUCUGAUGGAGGUUCUUAUCAUAUAGAUAUAUUAGCUAUUUGCUUAUUAGUUUUCCAUUUUGUUUCUUUUUUUUCUCUGAUUUAUUUUCACAAUUAAAUUUCUAAUUUUAUUUGUCGUCUGCUAGUUAUGAUCCUUCGUAUUAACUAAGUGCAUUGUUGCUUGAUAGGCAGCUGAGAGCUCAAAAACAGGUGCUGAAAUUAUUAGGGUCGACGCCGACAUUAAGCAAUUUGAUAGGCAUCGGAGUUAGGAAGUGGCGCACCGUCACCAAUUGAUGAUCGACCGAGUACCAAUUAGUAAUUAAUUUUAGGAUCAACUAUGUAUUUUUGGGUAUUAUUGUUGAAUGACAUAAUGAAACUUUGAUGUUGAAACUUUGGAAUACUUGUUUUAUAUGAUGAAGAUUUUGCUUA
Molecule: non-coding RNA, 1502 nt
Organism: Nicotiana tabacum (common tobacco)
Lineage: Eukaryota; Viridiplantae; Streptophyta; Magnoliopsida; Solanales; Solanaceae
Source: RefSeq, a predicted model, not a curated record